CAUGCAAGUCGAGGGAGAAGCCCUUCGGGGCAGAAACCGGCGCACGGGUGCGUAACGCGUAUGCAACCUACCUUUCACAGGGGGAUAGCCCGAAGAAAUUUGGAUUAAUACCCCAUAAUAUUAUUGGAUGGCAUCAUUUGAUAAUUAAAAUUACGAUGGUGAAAGAUGGGCAUGCGUCCUAUUAGCUAGUUGGAGUGGUAACGGCACCCCAAGGCUACGAUAGGUAGGGGUCCUGAGAGGGAGAUCCCCCACACUGGUACUGAGACAGGGACCAGACUCCUACGGGAGGCAGCAGUGAGGAAUAUUGGUCAAUAGUCGGAAGACUGAACCAGCCAUGCCGCGUGCAGGAAGAAUGCCUUAUGGGUUGUAAACUGCUUUUAUAUGGGAAGAAUAAGGCGUACGUGUACGUUGAUGACGGUACCAUAUGAAUAAGCAUCGGCUAACUCCGUGCCAGCAGCCGCGGUAAUACGGAGGAUGCGAGCGUUAUUCGGAAUCAUUGGGUUUAAAGGGUCUGUAGGCGGGCUAUUAAGUCAGGGGUGAAAGGUUUCAGCUUAACUGAGAAAUUGCCUUUGAUACUGGUAGUCUUGAAUAUCUGUGAAGUUCUUGGAAUGUGUAGUGUAGCGGUGAAAUGCUUAGAUAUUACACAGAACACCGAUUGCGGAGGCAGGGGACUAACAGACGAUUGACGCUGAGAGACGAAAGCGUGGGGAGCGAACAGGAUUAGAUANCCUGGUAGUCCACGCUGUAAACGAUGGAUACUAGCUGUUUGGAGUAAUUUGAGUGGCUAAG
Molecule: ribosomal RNA, 789 nt
Filed under: uncultured Bacteroidota bacterium
Lineage: Bacteria; Pseudomonadati; Bacteroidota
Description: bacterial SSU rRNA
Rfam family: Bacterial small subunit ribosomal RNA
Source: RNAcentral